Ribosomal RNA from Carassius auratus (goldfish), 119 nucleotides. NCBI's taxonomy places the organism in Eukaryota, Metazoa, Chordata, Actinopteri, Cypriniformes, Cyprinidae. The record is from Ensembl.
GCUUACGGGCAUACCAACCUGGCUAUGCCCGAUCUCGUCUGAUCUCGGAAGUUAAGCAGGUUUGGGCCUGGUUAGUACUUGGAUGGGAGACCGCCUGGGAAUACCAGGUGCUGUAAGCU